AGUCGUAACAAGGUUUCCGUAGGUGAACCUGCGGAAGGAUCAUUAACACGUAUCCAACGUUAAACAACCCUGUGAACCUUGAACGUGCUCUCGCACACGCUCUAGCAGCAAUCCCUGGUAAAUCAUUGUUGACCAGCUAUUGAGUCAGGGACCUCUGCUUUAAAACGAUGCGAUACGAGCGCCCUGGCAUCCUAGCAAUCUGUCAGUGGUUGCGCAAGGAUGGCGCAGUAAACGAUCGCUGUAGGCCCACACGGCCGGCGACCGGGCCUCUGUGCUUCGGCACCUAACGACCCCAUGUUUCGUACCCGGUGCGCUGUAACAACCGCACCACAAACUCGAACAACUGUUAACAAUGGAUAUCUUGGUUCUC
RNAcentral lists this unclassified non-coding RNA (370 nucleotides) under fungal sp. RNAcentral describes it as "partial internal transcribed spacer region". The stretch from base 1 to 45 matches the Rfam family "Eukaryotic small subunit ribosomal RNA", at positions 1787 to 1831 of the family's 1831-position model. Lineage: Eukaryota; Fungi. The record is from RNAcentral.